RNAcentral lists this transfer RNA (95 nucleotides) under Actinocatenispora rupis. RNAcentral's name for it is "tRNA-Asp". Lineage: Bacteria; Bacillati; Actinomycetota; Actinomycetes; Micromonosporales; Micromonosporaceae. The record is from RNAcentral.
GUGCUGUAGUGGGGGGUAGCUGCUGGCAUUUCCGAUCAGGAGAUUGAGUUCUCCUAAUCAGCGGGUUCGGGGUUCGAGUCCCUGGCGGCGCACCA